RNAcentral lists this small RNA (28 nucleotides) under Bombyx mori (domestic silkworm). RNAcentral describes it as "ovarian small RNA-7284". Lineage: Eukaryota; Metazoa; Arthropoda; Insecta; Lepidoptera; Bombycidae. The record is from RNAcentral.
UCCCCUGACGAUGAUGGUCGAGCCCGGA